Molecule: ribosomal RNA, 497 nt
Filed under: uncultured bacterium
Lineage: Bacteria
Description: partial 16S ribosomal RNA
Rfam family: Bacterial small subunit ribosomal RNA
Source: RNAcentral
GAUGAACGCUGGCGGCGUGCCUAAUACAUGCAAGUCGAGCGAACGGACGAGAAGCUUGCUUCUCUGAUGUUAGCGGCGGACGGGUGAGUAACACGUGGAUAACCUACCUAUAAGACUGGGAUAACUUCGGGAAACCGUAGCUAAUACCGGAUAAUAUUUUGAACCGCAUGGUUCAAUAGUGAAAUACGGUCUUGCUGUCACUUAUCGAUGGAUCCGCGCUGCAUUAGCUAGUUGGUAAGGUAACGGCUUACCAAGGCAACGAUGCAUAGCCGACCUGAGAGGGUGAUCGGCCACACGGGAACUGAGACAAGGUCCAGACUCCUAAGGGAGGCAGCAGUAGGGAAUCUUCCGCAAUGGGCGAAAGCAUGACGGAGCAACGCCGCGUGAGUGAUGAAGGUCUUCGGAUCGUAAAACUCUGUUAUUAGGGAAGAACAUAUGUGUAAGUAACUGUGCACAUCUUGACGGUACCUAAUCAGAAAGCCACGGCUAACUACGUG